CAAUAGCGUAUAUUAAAGUUGUUGCAGUUAAAAAGCUCGUAGUUGGAUUUCUGGUGGGAGUGUUUGGCCGGCUCAAUGAGUCUUGUGCCUAUAUGCUUCUGCCAUCCUUGGGGAAAACUUGCUUGGCAUUAGGUUGUCGAGUUUGGGAUCCCCAUCGUUUACUGUGAAAAAAUUAGAGUGUUCAAAGCAGGCUUAUGCCGUUGAAUACAUUAGCAUGGAAUAAUAAGAUAGGACCUUGGUACUAUUUUGUUGGUUUGCGUACCUAGGUAAUGAUUAAUAGGGACAGUUGGGGGUAUUCGUAUUCAAUUGUCAGAGGUGAAAUUCUUGGAUCGGCGGAAGACGAACUACUGCGAAAGCAUUCGCCAAGAAUGUUUUCUUUAAUCAAGAGCGAAAGUCAGAGGUUCGAAGACGAUCAGAUACCGU
RNAcentral lists this ribosomal RNA (423 nucleotides) under uncultured eukaryote. Its description in RNAcentral is "SSU rRNA". It matches the Rfam family "Eukaryotic small subunit ribosomal RNA", at positions 592 to 1018 of the family's 1831-position model. The record is from RNAcentral.